RNAcentral lists this ribosomal RNA (255 nucleotides) under uncultured bacterium. Its description in RNAcentral is "partial 16S ribosomal RNA". It matches the Rfam family "Bacterial small subunit ribosomal RNA", at positions 15 to 266 of the family's 1533-position model. The record is from RNAcentral.
GAUCCUGGCUCAGGAUGAACGCUAGCUACAGGCUUAACACAUGCAAGUCGAGGGGCAUCAGGGUGUAGCAAUACACCGCUGGCGACCGGCGCACGGGUGAGUAACACGUAUCCAACCUGCCCUUUACUCGGGGAUAGCCUUUCGAAAGAAAGAUUAAUACCCGAUGGUAUAACAUGACCUCCUGGUUUUGUUAUUAAAGAAUUUCGGUAGAGGAUGGGGAUGCGUUCCAUUAGGCAGUUGGCCGGUAACGGUCCG